GACAGAGGGUGCAAACGUUGUUCGGAAUUACUGGGCGUAAAGCGCGUGUAGGCGGCCAUCUAAGUCGGGCGUGAAAUCCCACGGCUCAACCGUGGAAGUGCACUCGAAACUGGAUGGCUAGAGUCCUGGAGAGGAAGGUGGAAUGCUUGGUGUAGAGGUGAAAUUCGUAGAUAUCAAGCGGAACACCGGUGGCGAAGGCGACCCGCUGGCCAGCGACUGACGCUGAGACGCGAAAGCGUGGGGAGCAAACAGG
This 253-nucleotide ribosomal RNA is filed under the name uncultured bacterium. Its description in RNAcentral is "partial 16S ribosomal RNA". It matches the Rfam family "Bacterial small subunit ribosomal RNA", at positions 524 to 776 of the family's 1533-position model. The record is from RNAcentral.